Molecule: long non-coding RNA, 1011 nt
Filed under: Marmota monax (woodchuck)
Lineage: Eukaryota; Metazoa; Chordata; Mammalia; Rodentia; Sciuridae
Source: RNAcentral
GAUAAGUUUUAUUCUUGGGGUUUUGCCAAGCACCCCUCAGCCCCUAUCAGAUUAUGGAAAACUUAUAUACAACUAUUCCUUCAAAUUCACAUAACCAUCCAGGAGCAAGAGAGGGAACUCCAACCCCAGCUGGAUGCAGUUGCCCAUCCUAAAGCUGACCCUUUCUCUGGAUGGCCCUAAUAUAUCAGGGCCUUCAGCUUCUCAAUUUAUGCAAAGUUAAUAACAUUUCCAACUGUUUCCUCUGCGCAGGUUUGGAUCGUACUCUGUUAACUUCGAUUCCCAUUGAUCUUCUCUCAACACCUCAACUAGACCCUAAGGACCCCCCUCUCCAGCCUUUGAGGAAGUCCCUCUUUUUUGUAAUUCAUCAGGGAAUUUCCCCUACUGCUACACUGCCUCUGGUUCAGCACCCUGUGACCCAAUCAUUCUUUCAGAUUUCUUCCCCAACCUUUGUUCUGCCAGGGUUCUUUUCCUGGUGCAGUGGUACCCUAACAAAAAAUCUAAGCCUCAACAUGUCCUUUGCUUUUUGUGUUCCUUCCCCCAAUUAACUCUGUACAGUGAGGCUGAAUUAACAUGGCUUGUUACCACCUCCUUUUCCAGGGAAAGAUGGGCCGUCUCUCUAGCAAUAGGGGUUGGACUCUCCCUGGCCUCCUCACUUGCUGCCUUCAAACCAGGGGCAGGAGGACUUGGUUCUGCAGUAACCGCUACUCAGAAGCUUGAACAACAACUUUAGGAAGGGGCAGAGGCAUCGGCCGCCUCUCUCACUUCCCUACAAAGGCAAAUAACAUCCAUUGCCCAAGUUUCAUCACAGCACCGUGGAGUCCUCCAUCUCCUGACAGCAGACAAAGGAGGAACCUGUCUAUUCCUGAAAGAAGAAUGCUGCUAUUAUUUCAAUGAAACUGGAUUGGUCGAGGGCUGGGGAUGUGGCUCAAGUGGUAGCAUGCUCGCCUGGCAUGCGUGCGGCCCGGGGUUCGAUCCUCAGCACCACAUACAAACAAAGAUGUUGUGUCUGCC